GGGCAUGUGGUGUAGUUGGUUAUCACGCUCGCUUAGCAUCAAUAGCUUGCGAGAGGGGUCCGGUUCAAUCCCGGACAUGUCCA
RNAcentral lists this transfer RNA (83 nucleotides) under Lentinus tigrinus ALCF2SS1-7. Its description in RNAcentral is "tRNA-Ala". Lineage: Eukaryota; Fungi; Basidiomycota; Agaricomycetes; Polyporales; Polyporaceae. RNAcentral also lists the same sequence under 1 other name. The record is from RNAcentral.